UCCCGGCUGGCUCAGUCAGUAGAGCGUGGGUUUCUUGAUCUCAGGGUUGUGAGUUUGAGCCCCACGUUGGGUA
Molecule: transfer RNA, 73 nt
Filed under: Ailuropoda melanoleuca (giant panda)
Lineage: Eukaryota; Metazoa; Chordata; Mammalia; Carnivora; Ursidae
Rfam family: tRNA
About the family: Transfer RNA (tRNA) molecules are approximately 80 nucleotides in length. Their secondary structure includes four short double-helical elements and three loops (D, anti-codon, and T loops). Further hydrogen bonds mediate the characteristic L-shaped molecular structure. tRNAs have two regions of fundamental functional importance: the anti-codon, which is responsible for specific mRNA codon recognition, and the 3' end, to which the tRNAs corresponding amino acid is attached (by aminoacyl-tRNA synthetases). tRNAs cope with the degeneracy of the genetic code in two manners: having more than one tRNA (with a specific anti-codon) for a particular amino acid; and 'wobble' base-pairing, i.e. permitting non-standard base-pairing at the 3rd anti-codon position.
Source: Rfam by way of RNAcentral